This 465-nucleotide ribosomal RNA is filed under the name uncultured bacterium. RNAcentral's name for it is "partial 16S ribosomal RNA". It matches the Rfam family "Bacterial small subunit ribosomal RNA", at positions 28 to 507 of the family's 1533-position model. The record is from RNAcentral.
GACGAACGCUGGCGGCGUGCUUAACACAUGCAAGUCGAACGGAAAGGCCCUGCUUGCCGGGUACUCGAGUGGCGAACGGGUGAGUAACACGUGGGUGAUCUGCCCUGCACUUCGGGAUAAGCCUGGGAAACUGGGUCUAAUACCGGAUAGGAGCCAUUUUUAGUGUGAUGGUUGGAAAGUUUUUUCGGUGUAGGAUGAGCUCGCGGCCUAUCAGCUUGUUGGUGGGGUAAUGGCCUACCAAGGCGGCGACGGGUAGCCGGCCUGAGAGGGUGGACGGCCACAUUGGGACUGAGAUACGGCCCAGACUCCUACGGGAGGCAGCAGUGGGGAAUAUUGCACAAUGGGCGCAAGCCUGAUGCAGCGACGCCGCGUGGGGGAUGACGGCCUUCGGGUUGUAAAAUCCUUUCGCUAGGGACGAAGCUUUUUGUGACGGUACCUAGAGAAGAAGCACCGGCUAACUACGUG